Molecule: ribosomal RNA, 503 nt
Filed under: uncultured bacterium
Lineage: Bacteria
Description: bacterial SSU rRNA
Rfam family: Bacterial small subunit ribosomal RNA
Source: RNAcentral
UAGUCCACGCCGUAAACGAUGUCUGCUAGUUGUCAGGCCCUCAGGGCUUGGUGACGGAGCGAAAGUAUUAAGCAGACCGCCUGGGGAGUACGGCCGCAAGGUUAAAACUCAAAGGAAGUUGACGGGGACCCGCACAAGCGGUGGAGCAUGUUGUUUAAUUCGAUGCAACGCGAAGAACCUUACCAGGAUUUGACAUCCCCCGAACUUUCUGGAAACAGAUUGGUGCCUUCGGGAACGGGGAGACAGGUGGUGCAUGGCUGUCGUCAGCUCGUGUCGUGGGAUGUUGGGUUAAGUCCCGCAACGAGCGCAACCCACGUAUUUACGUUGCCAUCAUUCAGUUGGGCACUCUAGAUAGACUGCCGGGGACAACUCGGAGGAAGGUGUGGAUGACGUCAAGUCAGCAUGCCCCUUACAUCCUGGGCUACACACGUACUACAAUGCUAUGGACAAAGAGCUGCAAGCCAGCGAUGGCAAGCUAAUCUCAUAAACCAUAGGCUCAGUUC